This 89-nucleotide transfer RNA is filed under the name Bacillota bacterium. RNAcentral describes it as "Firmicutes bacterium (anaerobic digester metagenome) tRNA-Ser". It matches the Rfam family "tRNA". Rfam says of the family: Transfer RNA (tRNA) molecules are approximately 80 nucleotides in length. Their secondary structure includes four short double-helical elements and three loops (D, anti-codon, and T loops). Further hydrogen bonds mediate the characteristic L-shaped molecular structure. tRNAs have two regions of fundamental functional importance: the anti-codon, which is responsible for specific mRNA codon recognition, and the 3' end, to which the tRNAs corresponding amino acid is attached (by aminoacyl-tRNA synthetases). tRNAs cope with the degeneracy of the genetic code in two manners: having more than one tRNA (with a specific anti-codon) for a particular amino acid; and 'wobble' base-pairing, i.e. permitting non-standard base-pairing at the 3rd anti-codon position. The record is from RNAcentral. RNAcentral also lists the same sequence under 1 other name. Lineage: Bacteria; Bacillati; Bacillota.
GGAAGGGUGCCAGAGCGGACGAAUGGAGCGGUCUUGAAAACCGUCGAGGGUCACGCCCUCCGUGGGUUCGAAUCCCACCCCUUCCGCCA